This 168-nucleotide small nuclear RNA is filed under the name Carlito syrichta (Philippine tarsier). RNAcentral describes it as "U1 spliceosomal RNA (ENSTSYG00000034808.1)". It matches the Rfam family "U1 spliceosomal RNA". From Rfam's summary of the family: U1 is a small nuclear RNA (snRNA) component of the spliceosome (involved in pre-mRNA splicing). Its 5' end forms complementary base pairs with the 5' splice junction, thus defining the 5' donor site of an intron. There are significant differences in sequence and secondary structure between metazoan and yeast U1 snRNAs, the latter being much longer (568 nucleotides as compared to 164 nucleotides in human). The record is from Rfam by way of RNAcentral. Lineage: Eukaryota; Metazoa; Chordata; Mammalia; Primates; Tarsiidae.
AUACUUAACCUGACAGGGGGAUACCAUGAUAGAUCACGAAGGUGGUUUUCCCAGGGUGAGGCUUAUCCACUGCACUCUGAAUGUGCUGACCCAUGCGAUUUCCCCAAAUGUGGGAAACUCCACUGCAUAAUUUGUGGUAGUGGGGGACUGCCUUUGCACUCUCCCCUG